Long non-coding RNA from Linepithema humile (Argentine ant), 779 nucleotides. RefSeq lists it as uncharacterized. The record is from RefSeq and is a predicted model, not a curated record. NCBI's taxonomy places the organism in Eukaryota, Metazoa, Arthropoda, Insecta, Hymenoptera, Formicidae.
AAUCGUAUUCGAGUUGCUCCGUAGUUUUUGUGAUUAUUAUCGUCAAAAAGUUUCGCGGGUGGAAAAUUAUCGCUAAUAUUUUUCGCGAAACAGUGAACGUCAAUCGUAUCGAGUUCAGUAUUGCGUACAGACGGUAUUAUUUCGAUAUCGGCAAUUUGUUUCUGUGGUUAGUAGCACCGUUCAAAAUUUCCUUUGUUACUUCGGCUCGUUUUCUCCGAAAACCAUGGCAAGUGCAGCGAUUGCGUGAUUAUUGCCAGUAGUUCUUGCGAAGUUCGCCAUUUUACUUCCGGUACAGCAAAUCAUAAAAUUUUAUUUGAAUUGUUCAUGUUUUUUCGUGCUUAUUAUCGGUUAAAAGUGGAUUCCGCGCGCGAGAGAUUAUCGAAAGUGUUUUUUAAAUCGUUUGUCGUAAAAUGUAAGUAUCGUGCAAUCGUUAUCGUGAUUGUCGUGAUCGGCGAUCUACUUUCGUUCGGAAUCGAUAGAAAUCUUGUUUGUAUAUUUCACGCCGAGGUAAAACGAAAACCUAGAAGUAGAUUUCGCACGCGAAAAAUUAUCGAAAGUGUUUCGUGAAAUGCUCGCAAUGGGAAAUCAUCGGAUUUGGUAUCGACGAGCUACUUUUACCUGGAAUCAUCGACUUCUCUUCGCAUAUUUUUCAACGAAAUGCAGCAAACAUGAAAUGUGCCAGAAUUAUUGUCAGGUAGCAGAAUAGCGUCGUCACGGAACCAGGAGGUUACAGUGAGGUGUUCCUUAACAUCUUCCCGGGCUGUACAGGACAACACCGC